UCAAGCGAAUAAGAGCAUAGGGUGGAUGCCAAGGCACCAUACGCCGAAGAAGGACGUGGCAAGCUGCGAAAAGCUACGGUGAGCCGCAAGCAGGCAUUGAUUCGUAGAUAUCCGAAUGGGGAAACCCGGCUAGAGUAAUGUCUAGUCAUCAUGAGAUGAAUACAUAGUCUCAUUGAAGGGCACCCGGGGAACUGAAACAUCUAAGUACCCGGAGGAAAAGAAAGAAACAUCGAUUUCCUGAGUAGCGGCGAGCGAAAGGGAAACAGGCCAAACCAGAGAGUUCGCUCUCUGGGGUUGUGGACCAGCAUAAAGGCAUUGAGGUAGGGUAGUAGAAGCGCGUUGGAAAGCGCCUCCAAAGAGGGUGAAAGACCCGUAGACGAAACCCGAAGACAGCCAGCUGGCACCAGAGUACCGCAGGACACGAGAAAUCCGGUGGGAAGCAGGAGGGACCACCCUCCAAGGCUAAAUACGACUUGGUGACCGAUAGCGCAUAGUACCGUGAGGGAAAGGUGAAAAGGACCCCGGGAGGGGAGUGAAAUAGAACCUGAAACCCUAUGUUUACAAGCAGAGGAAGCACGAUCUAGGUGCGACCUCGUACUUUUUGUAGAACGGACCGGCGAGUUACGAUAUGCAGCGAGGUUAAGGGCUAAGGGCCCGGAGCCGGAGCGAAAGCGAGUCUGAUAAGGGCGAAAUGAGUUGCAUGACGUAGACCCGAAACCGGGUGACCUAUCCAUGGCCAGGUUGAAGUGGGAGUAAAAUUCCAUGGAGGACCGAACCAGACGUCUGUUGAAAAAGGCGGGGAUGAGCUGUGGAUAGGGGAGAAAUUCCAAUCGAACCCGGAGAUAGCUGGUUCUCCUCGAAAUAGCUUUAGGGCUAGCCUCGUAUUAAAUUACUGGAGGUAGAGCACUGAAUGUGGGCGGGAGCCACAAAGCUUACCAAACACUAUCAAACUUCGAAUGCCAGAGAAUUGAUGUACGGGAGUCAGUCCGUGGGAGAUAAGUUUCACGGGCAAAAGGGGAACACCCCAGAUCGUCCGCUAAGGUCCCAAAGUGCAUGUUAAGUGGAAAAGGAUGUGGAAUUGCACAGACAACCAGGAUGUUGGCUUAGAAGCAGCCACUCAUUAAAAGAGUGCGUAAUAGCUCACUGGUCGAGUGAUUCUGCGCCGAAAAUUUAACGGGGCUAAACUAUACACCGAAGCUUAGGAUACCGCAAGGUAUGGUAGGAGAGCGUUCUGUACGGAGUGAAGUCGUAGCGAAAGCGGCGGUGGACUGUACAGAAGUGAGAAUGCCGGAAUAAGUAGCGAGAAUUAAGUGAGAAUCUUAAUGGCCGAAAGUCUAAGGUUUUUGGAGGAAGGUUCGUCCGCUCCAAGUAAGUCGGGAGCUAAGGUCAGGCCGAAAGGCGUAGCCGAUGCACAUACGGUUGAUAUUCCGUAACCAUCUGUAAUUUAAGCAAAGGGACACUUCAAAAGGGUGUGACCCGGGCGUUGGUUGACCCGGGCGUAAGGGACCGAAAUUAGAGUAGGGAAGCACACUUGGCUGAAGGCGAGAAAAGCUUUGCGUAUAGAAACAGAUGCCCGUACCGCAAACCGACACAGGUGGACAGGAAGAGAAUUCUAAGGCCAGCGGGAGAAGGGUAGUUAAGGAACUCGGCAAAUUGACUCCGUAACUUCGGAAUAAGGAGUGCUCGAAAGAGCCGCAGAGAAUAGGCCCAGGCGACUGUUUAGCAAAAACACAGGUCUCUGCCAAAUCGAAAGAUGAAGUAUAGGGGCUGACACCUGCCCGGUGCCGGAAGGUUAAGAGGAGGAGUGCAAGCUCCGAAUUGAAGCCCCGGUAAACGGCGGCCGUAACUAUAACGGUCCUAAGGUAGCGAAAUUCCUUGUCGGGUAAGUUCCGAC
RNAcentral lists this ribosomal RNA (1894 nucleotides) under activated sludge metagenome. RNAcentral's name for it is "bacterial LSU rRNA". It matches the Rfam family "Bacterial large subunit ribosomal RNA", at positions 3 to 1987 of the family's 2925-position model. The record is from RNAcentral.